RNAcentral lists this ribosomal RNA (406 nucleotides) under uncultured bacterium. Its description in RNAcentral is "partial 16S ribosomal RNA". It matches the Rfam family "Bacterial small subunit ribosomal RNA", at positions 30 to 526 of the family's 1533-position model. The record is from RNAcentral.
AUUGAACGCUAGCGGCAGGCCUAACACAUGCAAGUCGAACGAGCGGCGGACGGGUGAGUAAUGUAUGGGAAACUGCCCGAUGGAGGGGGAUCACUACUGGAAACGGUAGCUAAUACCGCAUACCAUCGGAUGUGCCCAGAUGGGCUUAGCUAGUAGGUGGGGUAACGGCUCACCUGGGCGACGAUCCCUAGCUGGUCUGAGAGGAUGACCAGCAACACGGGAACUGAGACAGGGUCCAGACUCCUACGGGAGGCAGCAGUGGGGAAUAUUGCACAAUGGGCGCAAGCAUUGUGCAGCCAUGCAGCGUGUAUGAAGAAGGCCGUCGGGUUGUAAAGUACUUUCAGCGAGGAGGCGUUACUCGCAGAAGAAGCACCGGAUAACUCCGUGACAGCAGCCGCGGUAAUAC